RNAcentral lists this transfer RNA (72 nucleotides) under Sphaerodactylus townsendi. RNAcentral's name for it is "tRNA-Val". It matches the Rfam family "tRNA". From Rfam's summary of the family: Transfer RNA (tRNA) molecules are approximately 80 nucleotides in length. Their secondary structure includes four short double-helical elements and three loops (D, anti-codon, and T loops). Lineage: Eukaryota; Metazoa; Chordata; Lepidosauria; Squamata; Sphaerodactylidae. The record is from RNAcentral.
GGGGCCAUGGCUCAGGGGCAGAGCACUUGCUUCACAUUCAGAAGGUCCCAGGUUCAAUCCUUGGCAACUCCA